Eubalaena glacialis (North Atlantic right whale) is the source of this 1951-nucleotide long non-coding RNA. RefSeq lists it as uncharacterized. Lineage: Eukaryota; Metazoa; Chordata; Mammalia; Artiodactyla; Balaenidae. The record is from RefSeq and is a predicted model, not a curated record. The transcript has 3 exons.
UCCUGUAUCGAAGAUCUAGGUCACUAGUGGAUUAUGAAAAUGCUAAUAAAGCACUGGAUAAAGCAAGAGCAAAAAAUAAAGAUGUUCUGCAGGCUGAAACGUCCCAACAAUUAUGUUGUCAGAAAUUUGAAAAAAUAUCUGAAUCUGCAAAACAAGAGCUUGUAGAUUUUAAGACAAGAAGAGUUGCUGCAUUCAGAAAAAAUUUAGUGGAACUGGCAGAGUUAGAACUGAAGCAUGCAAAGGGUAACCUACAGUUGCUGCAGAACUGCCUGGCAGUGUUAAAUGGAGACACAUAAGCCACACUCUGCCUUCCAGUUAAAAAGGGCUGCCUUCCGUCAGAUUUUAUUUUUUUUCUUAAUGAUGCUAGACAUUUACUGCUCGCUGGAAACAAAAGAAACAGCUGACAAAGUGCAUCUACUCUCCCUUUUUCUGAGAAACAAUGGCGCGGUGCCGCCCUCGGGUGCUGUGGGCUGCACGAUGGGACCUGCGCGCCUGCGCCGCAGACAGCUGAUGAUCAUCGCGCCCUCCUCCUCUUCAGAAGCCCAAAGUACUGCCUUUUUUUAAAGUAGCCUCUAGAACUGUGUUUAUUUUAUGAAUAGUAUUCCUUAUGGCUGCCAAUCUUAUUUACCUUUAAGUAAUUUCUGAAGUUUAACCCUUUCAAAAUACAUUGUGUAAACAAGAUAAGGAUUGCCGUUACCUUUUUUUAAAUUUUGUUUUAAAAAAACAUUGUACACCACCUUAGUUCACUCUUGUAUCCUGGUAAAGCAUCUUAAUGAGACUUAUUUUUAAUUAAUGAACGUUUCUUAGAAGUUUUGGGACAGACUACGUAAUCUUUAUAAGUGUGAUUUCUGAAGAAAAGCAAAUGCAUUAGUAUGUUUGCCUUAAACUUGUAGACUAAACGAACUAUUGUCCAAUAAACAGUGAUAACAGUAAUCGUUUUUUAACUCUGUGGUCACUCUAAAAUUUGGAGUAGCUAUAAUCUACUCCUAUAUUACGCUUUUACAGUGCAGGUCUUAGUUUUUCUUUUUUCUUAUUUCUUUUAAAAUGGCGUAUCGAACCAAGUUCACCACUUUACAAAAGAAUGAACUGCUUCUCUGUGUGCUUUUAGCACUUCAUAUAAGAUGGAAUUGGGCAGAGACAGGUUAGAGACAGCUGUUUCUAAAACAGGAACAGAGAGUAUGGUCUGUUGCGCUUUCCAGGAUUCCACCCCUAGUUCAGCUAAUUAACCGUGCAACAUACACCAGUGUAUAUAGACUGGUAUGUAGAGAGAAAGAGGCGUGCUAUAGGGAACAGCACUUGUCAGUGGGGGAAGAGUUGGAAUAUUUGGAAUAAAAGUUGCAGUACAAAAAGGAUACCGUCAGUAGCUACAUUACAGAUACUAUUGGCCUUUCUAAUGUGAACGAACAUUGUUAUUCCUAGAUUAAAAUUAGAUUGCGUGGUUGGAUUUUUCCACACUAAGUUGUUUCCCGUGUGGAAACCACAGGCAUCUGGGUUGGUCACCCUUCCACCGCGUUCCUAGUUUGUUUUCCCAAACCGUUUUUAAGAACACCUGCCUGGUUCUCAGGACUAGUCGCUAUGAUUCCAGCCUUUUCUCCUGCAUGUCUCUUGCCUCACGGGUGUGCUGGGUCAGUGUUUCUCUCUUUUAUUGACGUUCCUCAUUGCGUUUGAACUGUUGAUGUUUGUGUUGCCUGAGAGAUUGUUUUGUCCUCCAUGUCCCCUUCACUGGUGAGAAUAUGCCCCUGCGAUGCCCACCACUGGGUGAACGUGGGGUGGAGGGGCCCUAGCUUCUGGAUUUGGGGGCAGUCCCUUCAGUGGCUGCCCUUGUGGCCUCAGACCACAAGGUUCACUCGACCUCUCUGCCUUUGUCUCUACCAUGAAAGACAUAUUGACCUACCUCACAGGGGUGUUGUGAGGAUUAAUAAAUGUUGGUACAGUGCUUUGGAAAUGUGAA